This 26-nucleotide non-coding RNA is filed under the name Rattus norvegicus (Norway rat). Lineage: Eukaryota; Metazoa; Chordata; Mammalia; Rodentia; Muridae. The record is from RNAcentral.
UGCAUCUCCCGGAAGUACACAUUUGC